Anas platyrhynchos (mallard) is the source of this 365-nucleotide long non-coding RNA. RefSeq lists it as uncharacterized. NCBI's taxonomy places the organism in Eukaryota, Metazoa, Chordata, Aves, Anseriformes, Anatidae. The record is from RefSeq and is a predicted model, not a curated record.
UGUGCUUUCAGAUCUGGGUCUGGUAUGGCUGUGGAGUCAACGGCUUGCUAUCUGGAUGUACCAGGCCAGCCAGCAGGAGCUUCUGUGUCGUGCUAGAAGGAAAAUAUUGAGAGUUUUGAAAUGAAAUACAAUGCAGAACACAGUGUGAAGAGUGGUGGCUCCUGCAAGCAUCUGGAAACCUGGAUCACAGUCAAGAAGUGACAUAAUUCAACUCUCUGUGAGAAUUCAAAGGAUGCAUCAGGAAAAUCCCAGCCCCCAUUUAUCUGGUUUUACAGCUGCACUGCUCUAUUUGUCCCUCAUUGCCAUGUAGCAAGCCUACACAAAAAUGACAAGUAGACCAUCAAAAAACUGACUACAAAAUGCUG